This 70-nucleotide transfer RNA is filed under the name Collyriclum faba. RNAcentral describes it as "tRNA-Thr". The record is from RNAcentral. Lineage: Eukaryota; Metazoa; Platyhelminthes; Trematoda; Plagiorchiida; Collyriclidae.
GGGGGUUAUAGUUUAAUCUCCUAGAAUAUUGCUUUUGUAAAGCGAAGGUGUGAGUUCUUUCCCCUUUGGC